UGGUGAUGGAUGUGUUGGCUUAAUGGUGAUGGAUGUGUUGGCUUAAUGGUGAUGGAUGUGUUGGCUUAAUGGUGAUGGGGGUAUUGACUUAAUGGUGAUGGGGGUGUUGGCUUAAUGGUGAUGGAUGUGUUGGCUUAAUGGUGAUGGAUGUGUUGGCUUAAUGGUGAUGGGGGUAUUGACUUAAUGGUGAUGGGGGUGUUGGCUUAAUGGUGAUGGAUGUGUUGGCUUAAUGGUGAUGGAUGUGUUGGCUUAAUGGUGAUGGAUGUGUUGGCUUAAUGGUGAUGGGGGUAUUGACUUAAUGGUGAUGGGGGUAUUGACUUAAUGGUGAUGGAUGUGUUGGCUUAAUGGUGAUGGAUGUGUUGGCUUAAUGGUGAUGGAUGUGUUGGCUUAAUGGUGAUGGAUGUGUUGGCUUAAUGGUGAUGGAUGUGUUGGCUUAAUGGUGAUGGGGGUGUUGGCUUAAUGGUGAUGGAUGUGUUGGCUUAAUGGUGAUGGAUGUGUUGGCUUAAUGGUGAUGGGGGUGUUGGCUUAAUGGUGAUGGAUGUGUUGGCUUAAUGGUGAUGGAUGUGUUGGCUUAAUGGGGAUGGAUGUGUUGGCUUAGCAAGAUGUAGGUAACAGGAGAGAGAGACACGGGGAGAGAUGGAGAGAAAAAGAGAUGAUAGAGAGAGUCACUGGAGAGAAUGUCAUGCAGUAUGUAUAUGGACCAGCCUCGUGUGUCAUGCAGUAUGUUUUCUGUCAGAUAUGUUUUGUCUUCCCAGAGCUGCCGUGACGGAGGCCGGACUCGUGUGGGACCGCGGAGAUGCCGGGCCAAGCAGGGGAGACAUCACGGAGAGUCACACCAAGAUAGAUAGGUCAAUUUAGGUCAACAUAUGUCCUCAGUGUGUUAGUGAGGAUAGGCUAUCACUGGUUAGCUGUCUAAUCAUUGGGAGUGACUAGUUUGCAGAGCUCGGCAACAUUAUGGAAUACUAAAUGAUAUCAAGUGAUUGUUUUUAGUCUUAAAUUUACUCUCUCCUCCUCCUCCUCCUCCUCCUCCUCCUCUCUGUCUAUCUUCAUCCCUUCCUUCCUUUUAAUAAAUAAGUUAUCUUUUGCUUAAUUAACGUUUAUAAUUCUUUAUGGUGGUCAAAUCUUGCAUCUCAUUUCCCUGUCGUCCAUUCUCUCUCCUCCUCCUCCUCCUCUCUGUCUUUCUUCAUCCCUUCCUUUCUUUUAAUAAGUCCAAGUUAUCUUUUGCUUAAUUAACGUUUAUAAUUCUUUCUGGUGGUCAAAUCUUGCAUCCAAUUUCCUAUCGUCCAUUCUCUCUCUUCCUCCUCCUCUCUGUCUAUCUUCAUCCCUUCCUUUCUUUUAAUAAGUCCAAGUUAUCUUUUGCUUAAUUAACGUUUAUAAUUCUUUCUGGUGGUCAAAUCUUGCAUCCCAUUUCCAUUCGUUCAUUCUCUCUCCUCCUCCUCCUCUCUAUAUAUAUAUCUUCAUCCCGUCCUUCCUUUUAAUUAAUGUCUAAGUUAUCCUUUGAGUGACGUUCUUUCUGGCGGUCAAAUCUUGCAUCCAAUUUCCUAUCGUCCAUUCUCUCUCUUCCUCCUCCUCUCUGUCUAUCUUCAUCCCUUCCUUCCUUUUAAUAAAUAAGUUAUCUUUUGCUUAAUUAACGUUUAUAAUUCUUUCUGUUGGUCAAAUCUUGCAUCUCAUUUCCCUGUCGUCCAUUCUCUCUCCUCCUCCUCCUCCUCCUCCUCUCUAUAUAUAUAUCUUCAUCCCGUCCUUCCUUUUAAUUAAUGUCUAAGUUAUCCUUUGAGUGACGUUCUUUCUGGCGGUCAAAUCUUGCAUCCUAUUUCCUAUCGUCCAUUCUCUCUCUUCCUCCUUCUCCUCCUCUGGCUAUCUUCAUCCCUUCCUUCCUUUUAAUUAAUGUCUAAGUUAUCCUUUGAGUGACGUUCUUUCUGGCGGUCAAAUCUUGCAUCCUAUUUCCUAUCGUCCAUUCUCUCUCUUCCUCCUUCUCCUCCUCUGGCUAUCUUCAUCCCUUCCUUCCUUUUAAUUAAUGUCUAAGUUAUCUAUCGCUCAAGGUUCCUUCCAGUGUGUUUGUGGUGUCCGGCUCUGCUUGCUAGUUAGUUUUGUCACUGUAUAAUUGUCAAUCCUAGCUAGUUUUGCCACUGUAUAAUUGUCAAUCCUAGUUUGUUUUGUCACUGUAUAAUUGUGAGUCCUAGUUUGCUUUGUCCCUGUAUAAUUGUCCGUCCCAGCCAGGCGCCUCUUCCAUGUAAAGAUAUCGGCAGCUUCAAGCCUUGCCGAUAUCUCAAUCCGUACGUGAAUGUAAAUUAACCGAAAUCCUUGUUACUAAGUCCUGCACGGUGCUCUCUCACAUAAUGCUUCUUUAAAUUUUCAGUCUCACUUAAUUUCCGGGGUUAGUAAUAUAUUUUGCCAUAAGUUAACUCCCCGUGAUGGCCAGUUUCAUGUACUAUAUAUAAGUAAUUUGCCUUUUGCAUGGCUAUAAUUCUGCAUCCGUGUCUAAGGCCCAGUUUCACAGUUCCUCAUGAUGGGUUAGUAAGCUCCAAAACCAAUACCAGAGCCUUCGAAAUUUCCUUGUACGGUGUCUGGAGUUUAUAUUCAAGUUCACAAAUUUGACAAGACUAUACAGGAAAGGUCUUGUGUGUUUAUGCUACGAAGGAAAGGGAGGAGAAGGGAGAUGAGAUUGGGAGACGAGUGAGCCGAGAUCCUGUUUAUAUUCCAGUUCACAAAUUUGACGAGACUAUACAGGAAAGGUCUUGUGUGUUUAUGCUACGAAGGAAAGGGAGGAGAAGGGAGAUGAGAUUGGGGGACGAGUGAGCCGAGAUCCUGUUUAUAUUCAAGUUCACAAAUUUGACAAGACUAUACAGGAAAAGCUCUCUGUUUAUGAUAUGAAGGAAAGGGAAGAGAAGGGAGAUGAGUAAGCUGAGAUCCUGUUUUUAUUCAAGUCCACAAAUUUGACGACACAAUACAGGAAAAGCUCUGUGUAUUUAGUGUGUCAUCGAAGACCGCGCCAUUUUGAACAGUAUGGGAUUCUAUAGCUUGGUUCGGGAGUGUUACAAAGACCAUGAUGGACUGUGGAAGCGGCCCUUAAUGUUCCCUUUUCUAAUAUGCUUCUCUGUUUUUGCAGGAUGCCGCGGACGGACCAUGCAGAGGACUCAUCGCGACGACACCAACGGUUUGGUUAAGUGGGUUCUUUUGUGUGUGCGUCUGUGUGUGAAUGGCAGGCCUGUCGUAUGAUUGUGUGUGUGUGUGCGUUGGCGUUAUGCCUUCGCACUAUUAUUUUGUUAGGAUGUAUUUUUGUGUGUGAACUUUUUGCACGUAAUCUUUUUUUAUACCCAUAGCUAGCGUUUGUUUGUGUGGCAGUGUUCCGGGAGAUGGACGCCGGGGGACAUGGGCUUGGGGAGGCGCACAUGACCUCCUCUGUCCGUGAUCUCUUCAGCUGGGGAGACCGUGUGUUGCCCCGCCUGGAGAGACACGUUGAUGGAGGUGGCCGUGUGUGUCACCCUUUGCCUGUAUCCUCUGGCGCCCAGAGGCGCGUAAGCGGAGAGCAUCGGCGCAGCGCGGGAGCAGCACGUCAGGGUGUAGGGUGUUUGUUUAGCUGGUGUAGGGUGUUAGGGUGUUAGGUGUAACAACGGUUGGCUCUUUCACAGAACGGGUGUGAUUCCGUUCUGCGUUUGAGUCUUCCACCUUCAGACGGUCUCCCUCCGAGAUGUCUGAAGUUUUUUUGUCGGUUUUCUCCGUAGGAGGAAGCCGACUCUAGCUACUCUGGCCUCUCUUCCGGGGGUCAGAGCGGUCGGGCUCUGCUUGGCCAGGCGUUAGUCUUUCGCGUUGUCUCCGCCGACGUUUUGCCAGACUCUUCCGUAAGGUUGAGCCUGGCUUUUUUAUUAGGUGGAUCAGGCUGCCUUCUUCCAAGGAGUCUGAUGGGAGUGGAGUCUUUUUUUUGGUGUAUGUCUGUGGGUACUUAGUGGGUAAGGGAGGGUGGGGUAGAAUGGUUG
Eriocheir sinensis (Chinese mitten crab) is the source of this 3974-nucleotide long non-coding RNA. RefSeq lists it as uncharacterized. The transcript has 3 exons. Lineage: Eukaryota; Metazoa; Arthropoda; Malacostraca; Decapoda; Varunidae. The record is from RefSeq and is a predicted model, not a curated record.